Vespa velutina is the source of this 5058-nucleotide long non-coding RNA. RefSeq lists it as uncharacterized. Lineage: Eukaryota; Metazoa; Arthropoda; Insecta; Hymenoptera; Vespidae. The transcript is spliced from 3 exons. The record is from RefSeq and is a predicted model, not a curated record.
CAACUUCUCAAUAGAUCAUAUAAUUCACGAGCGGCUUCUAUCGCUCAGUAUUGUCGAGUGAAAGAUAAAGAUACAGUAGACACGUAUCGGUAUCUCUUUUCCGAGGUAUUUCGCUGAAUCAUUCAAGGAUAAAGGCGCGUUCGAAAUUUCUGCUGGGAAUCCUAAUAACAGCGUACGUCACUGAGCAGUCUUUUUUCUUUUUUUUUUUCUUGCGAAUAGAGUCGAACGGUCGAUAAUGAAGGAAAGUACUAUAAUUGAUUAUGCGAUUGUGCUAUUGAAGAAAAACGAUUUUACCGAUCGGACAAAUAUUUUUAUUUUAUAUUUAUAAUCAUUUUUUGAUUAAUGUCUAUGAGCUUUUAACUACACUCGUGAUAAUGCGCAUAAAUAAAUAAAAAAUAAAAAAACUCUGAGCAAAGUACAGAGUGUUAAGACGAUAAGAAUGAAGAAUUGGGGUUGCUCCAUCGAUCGACCGAAUUUCAGGCUCGAACUCGAGGGCAAUCGAGUGUCGAGCAAGAGAGAAUAAGGAAAAUAUAGCUGCGCCUGCGUAACUUGAUGAUAAUGACAAUACCAAUAAUAGUUGUGAUGUUAGGAAGAGGACGUCUUUCACGAAAUACAUCUCUUUUCCACUCUGUUUACCGUUUAUCACAUCUCGUGGAUUCGUCGAAUCAACGGGAUUAAGGUUGUUCGUCGAUCGAUUUCCGUUCGCUUCGGGCGCCGCUCGUUUAUAUAUCACUGAUGAGACUAUCGAGUGGAAAAUUUCAAUAAAAUCCCGGAACUUCGUCAGAGAGAGAGAGAGAGAGAACAUCGACAGUAAUCGAAGGCCGAACGAUAUAUGUACACAUAUAGAGGGUAGUUGGACAUGGAACAACACAAUCUUCUCUUAAUGUUUACUAGCCGAUCGAUACGAGGUGAAAAAUGAGACGUAGCCUAAAAAGAAAAAAAAUAAAAAGACAAUUGUAGCCGCUUCGUGCUACAACUUUUGUUUUCGCUCACUAGGUUAAAGUACAUAUAUAAAGUAUAAUACAUUUAUUUUCUUAUAACAUACGUCAAACAAAAUUAUAGAUCCUACAAAUAACAAUUGAAAUAUCAAAUUAAAAUAUAUUCAUUAGGCCAAAAUUGUGAAAAUACAUAAAAUUUGGAACAAUAGAAAUGCGCAAAUUUAAAUAAAGAAAAAAUGUUUUGAAAGAAAAUUUCUAACGAUUCAAGAUGGCGUUUAAGAUGAUAGAAUUAUUUUUCUAAUUCCUUAGAUUUUCUACUCUCAUAGAAUAUAUGAAUCGUUGUUCGUAGGAAAGGAUAGAGAAGAAAAAAUGAGGAUCGUAAUACUUUGACUUGUUUUUUUUUUUUUUAUACAAUACAAAGAAAGAAGAGAACGUUUCGAAACAAGUAUGAGUGUGGAUUGCGGUCGAAUAUCCCUUCCUCGUCGCAGCACCUCCUCCUCCCACAAAAGAUGGGGGCGUAGUGGGGUGUGGGACAACACGAGGAUGCGUUUGGAUCAACAGUUCGACCGCUCGCAGUCCUCUCGGAGAAGGAAAUACAUACGAUCAUGGACAUACGUGAAUGUGUCGUUGGUGGUUGUGUGUGUGUGUAUGUGAGAGAGAAAGAGAGAGAGAGAGAGAGAGAGAGAGAGAGAGAGAACGAAAGACAAAGAUAAAUCUCUGUAAAAAAAUCAGUUUUCAAUCAAUUUCAUGGUUAUUUUACGAAGAUGUUCCAGGAAUAAAAUGAAAAAGAAAAAGAAAAAAGAAAAAAUGGAACCGAGUUUGAAAUUCGAUAACAACUAAUAGGAUAUGCAAAAGCUUGUUACAGCAAAACGCAGAACUAUUGAAUAUAUAGUGUUGGACGUAUGCCGAUUGAUUUUUCGUCUAUGCUAGAAUCUAUAACAACGCAAAACGUGUUCGAAAAAUGCUCAAAGGUACAACUUUGAAGAAUAUCUCGAAACGGGGUAAAAGAAACAUGCGCUCGCUAUUCUUACCAUAUCCUUAAUAUCACGUGGAAAAGAAAUAUCGUUUCUCGAAUCGAGGGCGUGGUCGUGCCAAUUUUAAAACAUUCCUAUGUACAGAUAAUUUAAAGACAAAUCAAUGCGAAUCGAGUAAAAGCGAUAACGAAGCAGCUGUCCAUCUGUUUCUCGUGUGUACAGCAUAAAGUCAAAUAAAUAACAAGGUGACGGAUGUUCGUCAUUGUGGAUAAAGAAAAAGAGAUAGAGAAACUUGUGAGAGAGAGAGAGAGAGAGAGAGAGAGAGAGAGAGAGAGAGAGAGAAGCAAGCGAAGUCUGAGGACGAGAAAGGAUAAGAGGGUGGAGAUGUAGCAAGAAUGGGUGGGGAAGGAAAAGAAGAAGGGAGAGGAAAGGAGGGGAUGUAACCGCUCACGAGUCGACGCGAAAUACAGGUAUGGGCCGAUCCGUUAACCAUCAGGGAGCUCCAGGUACAAAGUUAACGGAAGAUUUCACGGCGGAGAGAGAGAGAGAGAGAGAGAGAGAGAGAGAGAGAGAGAGAGAGAGAGAGAGAGAGAGAGUGAGUAGAAGGGAAGAGAGAAGGGAGAACAUGGCCAUGAAGAAGGCGCGCAUGUCCCACAUUUUAGAAUCCUCCUGGAACGACAUUUCCGAUUCGUUUUCGAAGUCUACAAGGUGCUAAACGUUUUUUGUCGUCCGUCUCCGUCUCCUUGGUCUCUCUCUCUCUCUCUCUCUCUCUCUCUCUCUCUCUCUCUCUCUCUCUCUUUCUCUCUCUUCUUUUCAUUUUUUAAGAUAAAAAUUUUAACUUGCAUCUUGGUCGCGAUUACAAACGCGUUACGUGCUCUAUCUUCUAUCGAUGGAUCGAUAUUUAACUGUUUAUUCGGCUUAAUCUCACGGAACGUUAAUAAUAUUCCUUUUUAUGGUAGUUUCGUUUACUAUAUUGUAACGAGAGAGAUAAAUAAAUAAGAUACUGAUAGUCAAGUAAAAACUAAUAUUGAUAAGUGUAAGACGGUUCUGUUGAAAAAAAUUGAAUGUUCGAUGAAAUGUAUAUAAAAAUAUAGAUAUAAAAAUCUCGUAAAAUUUUAAAACGUUCAUUAUUAAAGAAAUAUUCUUUGAGAGCGCGCUCUUUUAGCGGCCCUCGGGAAAUACGUUUCUGCGCAUACGCACUGAACACUUAAGAAGAGGAGCGCACUGCUGACACGCACGAGUGCGUGCACUCAUCGACAGGUCAGGUCGGCCAUUUUCUUUCCGUCAGCUUGUAACCCAUCUCCCUCCCUCUACCCUCGACAACUCGUUUCCCUCCUCCACCAUACCAUCACCAGCCGCACACUAGCAGCACCACUCCACCACCGCCACUACUACUACUCUACUAUCUACUACACCACUCCACCACCGCCACUACUACUACUCUACUAUCUACUACACUACUAUUCUACUACCUACUACACUACUACUACUACUACUCUAUUAUCUACUACUACUACUCUAUUAUCUACUACACUGCUCUACUACCUACUACACUACUAGACUACUCUACUGCAAUACACAACUACAUCUACUCCAACCUCUCCUAACCCCAUCUCCUCUUGUCACCCUCUUGCAACGACCACUACCCUUCCGGCGACGCGACGACAUUCGUUCUCAUACCACGUUCGCAUUGGCGUCAACCUUGCUUUUUUUCCCCACCGAAUGUUCGAGAAUGCGACCGAUUUUCACCGACCAAUCAUGAACGAUCUUUGAUAGACAACGCGACGACGAAUCACUCAUCCAAUGGAAUUUCAAAACGUUUCCCUUUUCAUUCGAUUACACUUUGCUCUCUCGGGUAUCGUUACAACUUUGCUCGCACUCGUAUACGUAUUCCUUUCUUGCAACGACCACCGUUGCAAUAAAAGUGAUACAAUGUUGUUAGGAUAUAUGAUCCGAGCAACAACUUCUUCGACUCACUAACCCCACCAACUUGUCAACACGACUACCAGUCGUGUAAUAUUGUGGUUAUAUUUUAUCAGUAAUCCCCUUAUUGCUUUAAUGUGUAUUCGAGUUUAGUAAAUAUGUAUGUCCCUACAUGACAAUGUUGGAUGAAAUUCUCCGCAGAUAGAUAGAUAGAUAGAUAGAUAGAGAAAAAGAGAGAGAGAGAGAGGGAGAGAGAGAGACCGUUAUAUCCUGAACAUAAUAUUUCAAAAACCAUUACGAUAUUCUCAGAAAGUUUGCGGAACUUAUUCGAAUGUAAAUCAUUCUCUUCCUCUAUCUUUCUCUUUUCUAACUUCUUAAUAUCCCCGACGAAGAAUUUUUAGACGGCACGGAAGACAGCAAUGGUUGUAUUAAUACGAAUGCUCCGUGUGAACCUUCAUCCGCUCGAUGUUGUAUUAAUGCGGGUGUGUUAUUAACGAAGAAAGAAUCAAACGGUUUAUAUAGUUGGUAGCAUUAAGAAAAGCGGAUUUAUGUGUGUGCGCGUGUCUGAUUCUACCAGGGUUCCUCUCUUCCUAUUCCUAUUCUCGACAUGCCUGCAUUCUUCUUCUUACUGCUAUUAUUUUCUUUGAGAGUUUAAUUAACGAUAGAUCGAAAGAGUAUACAUAUCCUUGAGAAACUGAAUAUUUUUCUCGUAUAACCUAUAAUACACACUAUAUAUAUAUAUAUAUAUAUAUAUAUAUAUAUAUAUAUUGCAUACACACGCAAAACGUAUUUACAAAAAUUCUAUCAGUUGGGGUAUCAAAAGAUAGUGUAAAACGCGUAGUGUCGAAAGGAAGGCGUUCGACACACGUUCUCUUUGCUACGUUAAUCGAAGGUCGUUCCAUUCCGUUCCGAAUGAUCACCACCGUGUUUCAAUUUAGAAAGAAACUCGGAAAGCAAGUAGGCCGGAUCGAGAAAGACUUUGGACGUUAAGGAAUAAUAAUCGAUCGAUAUUAUUCGUGAUUCAAGAGCAAGAGAAAAUAUUCUUUUAAAGUAAUGGCAUAGUAAACUAUGUAAAAAUACAUUGUUAAAGAGAUAGUCGAAAGAUAUCAAUAAAGUAUGCUUUAAGUGCCGUCGUGACUUGUCCUACAUUAGGCUUUUAAUUACCAUCAUUUACGGUAUCCCUACUAACGGAAUCCCAUCCGUCCAGUAUUGGCUAUUAAGAC